RNAcentral lists this ribosomal RNA (460 nucleotides) under uncultured bacterium. Its description in RNAcentral is "partial 16S ribosomal RNA". It matches the Rfam family "Bacterial small subunit ribosomal RNA", at positions 338 to 795 of the family's 1533-position model. The record is from RNAcentral.
CCUACGGGUAGCAGCAGUGAGGAAUAUUGGUCAAUGGGCGUAAGCCUGAACCAGCCAAGUCGCGUGAGGGAUGAAGGUUCUAUGGAUCGUAAACCUCUUUUAUAAGGGAAUAAAGUGUGGGACGUGUCCUGUUUUGUAUGUACCUUAUGACUAAGGAUCGGCUAACUCCGUGCCAGCAGCCGCGGUAAUACGGAGGAUCCGAGCGUUAUCCGGAUUUAUUGGGUUUAAAGGGUGCGUAGGCGGCCGUUUAAGUCAGCGGUGAAAGUCUGUGGCUCAACCAUAGAAUUGCCGUUGAAACUGGGAGGCUUGAGUAUGUUUGAGGCAGGCGGAAGGCGUGGUGUAGCGGUGAAAUGCUUAGAUAUCACGCAGAACCCCGAUUGCGAAGGCAGCCUGCCAAGCCAUGACUGACGCUGAUGCACGAAAGCGUGGGGAUCAAACAGGAUUAGAUACCCUAGUAGUC